RNAcentral lists this long non-coding RNA (370 nucleotides) under Physcomitrium patens. RNAcentral describes it as "long non-coding RNA (PPAT_LNC011558)". The record is from RNAcentral. Lineage: Eukaryota; Viridiplantae; Streptophyta; Bryopsida; Funariales; Funariaceae.
AGCCUAUAGUAAUGCAACUUUUCACAAUGAUGAAUAGUCUUAAUAUUGCAACAAAGUAACCAUACUUUGUCACCUACAUUGAAUUAUGAUUAUUCUUUGUGAUGGGAAUUUACAUUAAUCUUUUGUUAUUUUUGAGCUGACUUUAAUUACACCUUUAUUGUUAUAUGUAGCUCUAACAAACAAUUUGUAAAAUCUUUUGCCUUAUAAUUAUCAACUUUUAAAAAGUAAAAAGUAUCAAGUUGUAGAUGAUAACCAUAAUUGGCAAAGAAAGGUGUUUGUUGAGUGGAUGAAUGUAUUGAAUUAUUGUACGCAAACUUUGUCAAUGAUAAAAGAAUUGUCUAAUCAUCUUGAUGAUAAUUGAUGAUACACC